Brassica oleracea var. oleracea is the source of this 1055-nucleotide long non-coding RNA. RefSeq lists it as uncharacterized. The record is from RefSeq and is a predicted model, not a curated record. Lineage: Eukaryota; Viridiplantae; Streptophyta; Magnoliopsida; Brassicales; Brassicaceae. The transcript has 6 exons.
CUCUUAUGAGACAGCUGUCCAAACAUGAGUGCUUCAUCUUCCUUUCCGCCAUCUCUACGCAGGAAUAUGGGGUUGACAAGGAAUCAGAAGGAUCUGGUAAAGAGCUUGGCCGUCGUGGAAUGAUUGGGACUGAACGAAUUGGACUUGAUGCUGGUGACAGUCUUGGUGCUCUUGGUUUGAACCUCGAAUCCACUGGCUGUGGUGUAUUUGAUGCUCUGUUUUCGAGUUUCUCCAUGAUUCUUGUGACAUAGAUUGGCGAUGAAACUUUUAUAAUAGCGGCACUAAUGGCUAUGCGACACCCCAAAGCUACUGUUUUGUCUGGUGCACUUUCAGCUUUGUUUGUUAUGACUUAUUGAGCGACCCGUUUACAAGGCAGGAGUACGACAAGAAAAUGAAGCUUCAUAUCUAUGAGCACAAUAUGGAGCUUUUUGAUCGGUACAAAGAGCUCAUCUUUACUUGCAAUGGCCUUGGGAUGAAGAAAUUUCUUUGGUGAAUUGCAGAGCUUUUAAUUUAGGUGAUAUAUAUAGCCUUUGUAGGUUGAGUUAGAGACAUCAGCCUUUGUAGCAGGGUUUGAGUAUUGAUCAUAGUCUGAGAGCAAGAGAAACCAUCAAUUAAGCAUUAAUCAUGUUUUUAGGUUCUCUGCUUCCACAAGUUUUUCUUUUCUUUGUUUUUUUUGUUCUUUGUUCUUUGGAAAGAUUAGAAACUUGUGUUGAAAUGUCAAUCGUCUUCUUCCAUAGAUUCCUUAGUUUUAUUGUGUCUUGUAUUCUUUUUCUCACAUGUCUUGUAUUCUCAUGUCACGGACGUUGAUGAAAGUGUUUUCUGGUAUAUGAUUAAUUGUUUCUUCCAAGAAGUAUGAUAUAAGUAUGUUCUAAUUUUACAGAAAGACCAGUGAUGUAUAUGGCGGAGAUGUGUUGAGCGAGACUAAACCAUUACAAAUACAUGCUUCACCCAAGAAAGACAUUGCCUCCACCAAAGUUGCCAAGUGAUCACAUAACCAAGCUCUGUCGUGGGGAUUGGGUGAUUAAAAGGUCGUCAAGUUCUAACCUAGUGCAACA